Molecule: unclassified non-coding RNA, 337 nt
Filed under: soil metagenome
Description: partial contains 5.8S ribosomal RNA, internal transcribed spacer 2, and large subunit ribosomal RNA
Rfam family: 5.8S ribosomal RNA (bases 1-120)
Source: RNAcentral
GAUGAAGAACGCAGCGAAAUGCGAUAAGUAGUGUGAAUUGCAGAAUUCAGUGAAUCAUCGAAUCUUUGAAUGCACAUUGCGCCCUAUAGUAUUCUGUAGGGCAUGCAUGUUCGAGCGUCAUUUGUACCUUCAAGCUUUGCUUGGUGUUGGGUGUUUGUCCUCUCCCUGGUGUUUGGACUCGCCUUAAAACAAUUGGCAGCCAGUGUUUUGGUAUUGAAGCGCAGCACAAUUUGCGAUUCUGGCCUUAAAAUACUAGCGUCCAUAAGUACAUUCUCACUUUUGACCUCGGAUCAUGUAGGGAUACCCGCUGAACUUAAGCAUAUCAAUAAGCGGAGGA